AGGCACGAAAGCCAGUGCCAAACCCAGCGCGGUGACAGCGGGUUACAGACGUGCCCGUUCAUUGCUUCUGACCGCGGCGUGAGCACAAAACAUUCCUGUGUACGCCUUAAAGCGCUUCCCUGAACUCGUUCGCCAUUUCUGCAACCAGAGACCUUGCUGGACGCCCGUGAGACGGCGGCGGGGACCACGAUGGACACGCAGGUUGGACUGUAAUUUGUGAAGAUACUGGAUGACAGGUCUUUGUCUGCCUGGCUGUUACAAAGAGGAGGUUGGCAUACUAGAGUUUUUCUCCAGGAGGACAACAUUUCAAAAGUCCCAUACAACCCAUGACCUACAACAGAGAACAAAGCGAGUGUUUAAAGUACAAAUCCUGAAUUACAUGGAAAAAUGUAAAGUGGACAUGCUAAAAGGCUCGAAGGAGACACAGCUGGAUGCUACCAGUGCUUGAAGGAAACGUUCUGCAGAAGAGAGAAAUUAUUAUGGAGGUGUAAACCACAGAAGUCUGUUUGCUACCUGCCUAGCAAACCUUACUGCCAGUGCUUGAGUUUCUAUGUUGUGAAGAUGUGUUUGGAGGACACAGACCUCUGCUCUCUCGUAGUGAACCUGAGCUGGGAAUGCAGCCAUUGACCAAAUACCAGGAAAGAGAAAACCACAAUUUGCUCUUACAUAAUCUUCAAGACUACCCUAAAAUGGAAUCUGAUUUAGAGAGCUGCUCAACUAAAUGCAUGAAGAGGCGUCACCACAUGUGCUCCACAAAGCCAAGAGAAAAAUAUUUGGAUACUCUCCUAUUUUAGGAUAGGUUCCUUUUGUUGUUUGCUACACAAUCUGUGCACUAGGAACUGGUAUUUUCCUUCAGUUGUACAGUUUGUGAUUUCUCUGUCCAUUUAUAUGAUAGCUACGGAAUUAUCAUUUACCUUUAAGAGGACAUGCUUAAAUGACAAAGUUGCACACUUUUUGCACCAGUGGCACUCCUGACCUGAUCCAGUUUAGUCUGAGAAAAAAAUUAGGCCCAAACUCAAGCACAAAUUAGGCUUGGCAGUCAAAAGAUUAGCUGUAUUUAGCUGGGAUGGGAUUUACCUAACCUAAUUUACCUCUCUAAAUACUGACUGUAAACACAACUUGGGUAACAGUCUUCAACACAGUAACUCGCAGAUGUUCAUAUAAGUCUAGCCCACAAAGAUUAGGGCAGAUAUCUCCAUGGAAGCAUUCUUUCACUUCUCUGUCAUUUCAGAGUUUUCAUUUUUUUUUACAUCCCUAAUCAAUUUGCACCAAUUAACUCUAUUUCUCUUGCUAUCUACUCUAGGUAAUAUUAAUGAGAUGAAGGAAAUUUUUUCCUUGUAAAUAAAUUGUGUAAUUGCUUCAACUGAUUUUCCCUUUUUAAUAGAGAUUUAGCCACAAAUCUGUAAUCAUUUAGAACAACUUGUUCAUUAUUCACGGUCAUUCAGUAAAUAAUAAAUAUGAAUUCAAACAGCUAAUGGGCUACUGGAGAUUUUUUCCUGCUGACAUUUG
Molecule: long non-coding RNA, 1509 nt
Organism: Corvus hawaiiensis (hawaiian crow)
Lineage: Eukaryota; Metazoa; Chordata; Aves; Passeriformes; Corvidae
Exons: 5
Source: RefSeq, a predicted model, not a curated record